RNAcentral lists this ribosomal RNA (301 nucleotides) under uncultured bacterium. Its description in RNAcentral is "partial 16S ribosomal RNA". It matches the Rfam family "Bacterial small subunit ribosomal RNA", at positions 509 to 809 of the family's 1533-position model. The record is from RNAcentral.
CAGCAGCCACGGGAAUACGGAGGGUGCAAGCGUUAAUCGGAAUUACUGGGCGUAAAGCGUGCGUAGGCGGUUCGUUAAGUCUGUUGUGAAAGCCCCGGGCUCAACCCUGGAAUUGCCUUUAAGACUGCCGAGCUAGUAGGUGAGAGAGGUAAGUGGAAUUCCGAGUGUAGAGGUGAAAUUCGUAGAUAUUCGGAAGAACACCAGUGGCGAAGGCGGCUUACUGGCUCAUUCUAGACGCUGAGGUGCGAAAGCGUGGGGAGCAAACAGGAUUAGAUACCCCUGUAGUCCCUGUCUCUUAUAA